GAUGAACGCUGGCGGCGUGCUUAACACAUGCAAGUCGAACGAAGCUGCCCAAAGGAAGUUUUCGGAUGGAAUUUAGGUAGACUUAGUGGCGGACGGGUGGGUAACGCGUGGAUAACCUGCCUUAUACAGGGGGAUAACGGAGAGAAAUUUCCGCUAAGACCGCAUAAGACCACAGCACCGCAUGGUGCAGGGGUAAAAUAUUUAUAGGUAUAAGAUGGAUCCGCGUCCGAUUAGCUUGUUGGUGAGGUAGAGGCUCACCAAGGCGACGAUCGGUAGCCGGCCUGAGAGGGUGAACGGCCACAUUGGGACUGAGACACGGCCCAAACUCCUACGGGAGGCAGCAGUGGGGAAUAUUGGACAAUGGGGGGAACCCUGAUCCAGCGACGCCCGCGUGAGUGAAAGAAAGUA
Molecule: ribosomal RNA, 408 nt
Filed under: Lachnospiraceae bacterium oral taxon 107
Lineage: Bacteria; Bacillati; Bacillota; Clostridia; Lachnospirales; Lachnospiraceae
Description: bacterial SSU rRNA
Rfam family: Bacterial small subunit ribosomal RNA
Source: RNAcentral